This is a long non-coding RNA of Balaenoptera acutorostrata (minke whale), 2908 nucleotides long. RefSeq lists it as uncharacterized. The record is from RefSeq and is a predicted model, not a curated record. NCBI's taxonomy places the organism in Eukaryota, Metazoa, Chordata, Mammalia, Artiodactyla, Balaenopteridae. The transcript is spliced from 2 exons.
UCUAUUUGAAUAUAGGUAUAUAUGUAAAUAGAAACUGGUCCUGGAGGAUCUCCAAUGAACUGUGAAUAAGAGUUACCCCUGGGAAGGGGAGUGGAAUGGGUGGAAAUAGGAUUUUCAAGUUUUAUUCUUCAUGCCUCCUUAUUGUUCGGAUGUUUAAUUUGAACAUGUAAUCACUGUGUAAUUUUAAAAAUGUAAACAACGAGGAAGCAAGGCUCCUCAUCCCCAGGGACGAAGAAUAAGGACUUUGCACAUCCAUCUAAGCUGGGGAGUCAGACGAGCCGGGAGGCCACCCAGCCACUAAGGGACAGAAAACAGAUGUGGAGGAACCGUGAGCCACGUGCACUCACCAAUCCCCUGGUGCUCAGCUCCAAGCAGAGACUGUGGGUCGACUGCACAGGGCAAAUGAGGGUUUUCUCUUCACUUGAGCAAAAGAAAUCAAGAAUGUGGAAGAGGCAGAUGUGACAGCCAUAAAAUGAUGUAUCACCCACAGAUCUGAAGCCGUGGAAAUGGCAACUCAGCCCUGUUCUAACUCAACUCAGCUCAGCAGCAGCAGUGUUAGGAUGCGUAGGUAGAGAGACAUCUCUGCUAUCCCGGUAGGGCACUCAGGCCUGCCUGCAUGGAGGCAGCCUGUUGGGAGGUCUGGCCUCCAGACCUCUACUAGUUCUGAGCUUGUGAGCUGAGAAAGGGCCAAGCUGCAAAUACAAGUCUUUCUUACCUGCAAGGAGCUGGGAAACCCGACAACACACACUUUCCCUGCCUCUUUCACUUUCACUGGCAUCAGAGCCUAAACACGCUGGGAAUUUGAACAGAGGUCUCUCUCUUCAGCUCCAGCCCCCAGGGUGGGUGGGACACUCCGUUUCUCAGCUAUCAGCCCCCGUGUGGGAGAUGGAGGGGUGGGCUUGGAAUUAACCGCCAGGAGAUCUGGAUUGUCAACAGAACAUGCAGGAAGCUGGUUCUAAGCCGUGCAUGUGAAUUAAGGGGACAGAAAUACUCCUUCAGUCUUCAGUAUUUGGGGUGGCUUCCAUAAAGCAGUUGCAGGAAAAAUCACGGACCUGGAUGCCAUGUAAGUCCUAAGCCCUCCUGGAGUGAUUUCCUACUGGAUCAUGUAAGAGGUAAGAGAUCUGCACUCCUGUAUCGAGUUCUUUUUGCCAAUUUGUCUCAAUCACAUUAUUAUCAUUAAUAAUAAUAAUAACACAUAUUUUGUACUUACUACACAUCAGGUGCAAUUUAAAGUAUUUCCAUGUAUCGUCUCACCUACCUAAUUCUCACAACGGCUCUGUGGGCUGGGGCACGAUUACUCUCAUUUCACAGAUGGAGAAACUGAGGCACAGUCAGUUUAAGCCACUCUCCAGGUUCACACGGAUGGCAGGUGGUGAUGCUGGUUCUCCUCUAGAUGACCUGACUCCAGGGCUUCCUCUGCACUGUGCAUGGAACCCUCGGCAGCCUCCUCAGAUGUCACAGGGUCUGUGGACUAAAUGAGGGGGACACGGGUUCGAGCCCUGGUCGGGGAAGAUCACACAUGCCGCGGAGCAACUAAGACCAUGCGCCACAACUGCUGAACCUGUGCUCUAGAGCCCGCGAGCCACAACUACUGAGCCCACGUGUUACAACUACUGAAGCCCGUGCGCCUAGAGCCCGUGCUCCACAAGAGAAGCCACUGCAAUGAGAAGCCUGUGCACUGCAAUGAAGAGUAGCCCCCGCUCGCCGCAACUGGAGAAAGCCCGCGCGCAGCAACAAAGACCCAAUGCAGCCAAAAAUAAAUAAAUAAAAUAAAUUUAAAAAAAAAUCCUGCUAUGAAUACUUGUGUACAAUUUUUUGCACAAACGUUUGUUAUUAUUUCUCUUGGAAGUGGAUUUGCUGGCCCACAUGACAAAUUUGUAUUAACUUAAGAAACUGCCAAACUUUUCCAAAGUAGUUGUACCAUUUUACCUUUCCACCAACAAUGUAGUUUCCAAUUUUUUCCAUAUCUUGCCAAUAUUUGGUGUUAUCUUUUUGAUUAUAGUCAUUCUAGUGUGUAAUAGUAUCUCUUUGUAGUUUUAACUUGCAUUUCUCUGAUGACUAAUGAGGUCGAAUACGUUUUCAUGAGUUUAGAUAUUUGAAUGUCUCUCUUGAUGCAAUGUCAAGUCUUUCACCAUUUUAAAAUUAUGCUUUUGGAUUUCUUAUUUUGGGGUUGUGUUCUUUAUACUUAUGGAUACACAUCUUUUAUUAUAUAUGAUUGGCAAAUAUUUUCUCACAGUCUGUGACUUGUCUUCAUUUCUUUCAAGCUGUCUUUUGAAGAACAAAUUAAACAAUGAGUUAAUGAAGCUUAAUUUACCAAUUUUUCCUUUUAUGGCUUACGCUUUUGGUAUUGUAUCUAUGUUUGCCUAACCAGAGAUUUAAAAUAUCUCCUCCUGUGCUUUCUCUUAGACGUUUUGUAGUUUUAAGCUUUAUAUUUAGGCCUGUGGUCCACGUGUCCUAACCUGACUCAAAGCCCCACUUUUCCUGAGCUAGAGCCUCCUGUGGACAACAGAAAGGGAGCCAUUGUGGGUGGCUUCUUUCUCCCCUGGGGGCAACUGUUGAGUGGAAACCAGCUCAAAAGGUUUCCAUGCUGCUCACCCAGCCACUGCCUUUCUAAACAGAGGUCCGUUGAUAGAGCACUUCAGAACCCUCUCUCUCUGUUUCUAAAACAGCAAUUUGUAACCUGCUUGAGGUUUGAGAUGACUGUUGUUUCUCAACAUCUUGCUUGCUUCAUACAAAUUUACUGCUUCCAGUAGAUAUUUUCUGUGGUGUAUAUUACCAGAUUGUGGUCACUGUAUAGCUUUAAUAUAAAGACUCUAUUUUUGGUUCGUGUUGAUGUGUUUCAAGGAUUGAAGUUAAAUAAUGUGUGAGCAUUAAAUAAUGUUAAUAAAGUUAAAUAAUGUCCACCAUC